UACGGAGGAUGCAAGUGUUAUCCGGAAUCACUGGGCGUAAAGCGUCUGUAGGUGGUUUAAUAAGUCAACUGUUAAAUCUUGAGGCUCAACCUCAAAAUCGCAGUCGAAACUAUUAGGCUAGAGUAUAGUAGGGGUAAAGGGAAUUUCCAGUGGAGCGGUGAAAUGCGUAGAGAUUGGAAAGAACACCGAUGGCGAAGGCACUUUACUGGGAUAUUACUAACACUCAGAGACGAAAGCUAGGGUAGCAAAUGGG
This 253-nucleotide ribosomal RNA is filed under the name uncultured bacterium. RNAcentral describes it as "partial 16S ribosomal RNA". It matches the Rfam family "Bacterial small subunit ribosomal RNA", at positions 524 to 776 of the family's 1533-position model. The record is from RNAcentral.